Lactobacillus delbrueckii subsp. bulgaricus is the source of this 89-nucleotide small RNA. It matches the Rfam family "Lacto-usp RNA". The record is from Rfam. Lineage: Bacteria; Bacillati; Bacillota; Bacilli; Lactobacillales; Lactobacillaceae.
GAUCAAACUUAAGGACGUGGUGGCCUGUCAGUAACUACUGAAUCGGAAUGCUGCUCACGCAGAAUCCAUAUUCACUGCGCGACGGGCCG